AGUUUGAUCAUGGCUCAGAACGAACGCUGGCGGCGUGGAUAAGACAUGCAAGUCGAACGGGAUUAUCUUUGUAGCAAUACAAGGGUAGUUCAGUGGCGUAAGGGUGCGUAACACGUGGGCAAUCUGCCGAGAAGUGGGGGAUAGCUCGCCGAAAGGCGAAUUAAUACCGCAUGUGGUUAGUGAAGGAUUCUUCACGAUACCAAAGCCGGGGCAACCUGGCGCUUCUUGAUGAGCCCGCGGCCCUAUCGGCUUGUUGGCGGGGUAACGGCCCACCAAGGCUAUGACGGGUAGCUGGUCUGAGAGGACGACCAGUCACACUGGAACUGAGACACGGUCCAGACACCUACGGGUGGCAGCAGUCGAGAAUUUUUCUCAAUGGGGGAAACCCUGAAGGAGCGACGCCGCGUGGAGGAUGAAGGUCUUCGGAUUGUAAACUCCUGUCAUUUGGGAACAAUUGUCACCGGUUAACUGCCGGGGGCUUGAUAGUACCAAAAGAGGAAGGGACGGCUAACUCUGUGCCAGCAGCCGCGGUAAUACAGAGGUCCCAAGCGUUGUUCGGAUUCAUUGGGCGUAAAGGGUGCGUAGGUGGCGGG
RNAcentral lists this ribosomal RNA (593 nucleotides) under uncultured bacterium. RNAcentral describes it as "bacterial SSU rRNA". It matches the Rfam family "Bacterial small subunit ribosomal RNA", at positions 10 to 582 of the family's 1533-position model. The record is from RNAcentral.